UACGUAGGGUCCAAGCGUUAAUCGGAAUUACUGGGCGUAAAGCGUGCGCAGGCGGUGCUGUAAGACAGAUGUGAAAUCCCCGGGCUUAACCUGGGAACUGCAUUUGUGACUGCAGCGCUAGAGUGUGUCAGAGGGAGGUAGAAUUCCACGUGUAGCAGUGAAAUGCGUAGAGAUGUGGAGGAAUACCGAUGGCGAAGGCAGCCUCCUGGGAUAACACUGACGCUCAUGCACGAAAGCGUGGGGAGCAAACAGG
This 253-nucleotide ribosomal RNA is filed under the name uncultured bacterium. RNAcentral describes it as "partial 16S ribosomal RNA". It matches the Rfam family "Bacterial small subunit ribosomal RNA", at positions 524 to 776 of the family's 1533-position model. The record is from RNAcentral.